UACGUAGGUGGCAAGCGUUGUCCGGAUUUAUUGGGUUUAAAGGGUGCGUAGGCGGCCUUAUAAGUCAGUGCUGAAAUAUCCCGGCUUAACCGGGAGGGUGGCAUUGAUACUGUAGGGCUUGAGUGUAGUCGAGGUAGGCGGAAUUGACGGUGUAGCGGUGAAAUGCUUAGAUAUCGUCAAGAACGCCGAUAGUGUAGACAGCUUACUAGGCUACAACUGACGCUGAGGCACGAAAGUGUGGGGAUCAAACAGG
This 253-nucleotide ribosomal RNA is filed under the name uncultured bacterium. Its description in RNAcentral is "partial 16S ribosomal RNA". It matches the Rfam family "Bacterial small subunit ribosomal RNA", at positions 524 to 776 of the family's 1533-position model. The record is from RNAcentral.